This 435-nucleotide ribosomal RNA is filed under the name uncultured bacterium. RNAcentral's name for it is "partial 16S ribosomal RNA". It matches the Rfam family "Bacterial small subunit ribosomal RNA", at positions 29 to 507 of the family's 1533-position model. The record is from RNAcentral.
AGCGAACGCUGGCGGCAGGCUUAACACAUGCAAGUCGAACGGGCUUCUUCGGAAGUCAGUGGCAGACGGGUGAGUAACACGUGGGAACGUGCCCUUCGGUUCGGAAUAACUCAGGGAAACUUGAGCUAAUACCGGAUACGCCCUUAUGGGGAAAGGUUUACUGCCGAAGGAUCGGCCCGCGUCUCAUUAGCUUGUUGGUGGGGUAACGGCCUACCAAGGCGACGAUCAGUAGCUGGUCUGAGAGGAUGAUCAGCCACACUGGGACUGAGACACGGCCCAGACUCCUACGGGAGGCAGCAGUGGGGAAUAUUGGACAAUGGGCGCAAGCCUGAUCCAGCCAUGCCGCGUGAGUGAUGAAGGCCUUAGGGUUGUAAAGCUCUUUUGUCCGGGACGAUAAUGACGGUACCGGAAGAAUAAGCCCCGGCUAACUUCGUG